UACGGGGGGAGCAAGCGUUGUUCGGAUUUACUGGGCGUAAAGGGCGCGUAGGCGGCCACCGCAAGUCGACUGUGAAAUCUCCGGGCUUAACUCGGAAAGGUCAGCCGAUACUGCGGGGCUAGAGUGCAGAAGGGGCAACUGGAAUUCUCGGUGUAGCGGUGAAAUGCGUAGAUAUCGAGAGGAACACCUGCGGCGAAGGCGGGUUGCUGGGUUGACACUGACGCUGAUGCGCGAAAGCUAGGGGAGCGAACGGG
RNAcentral lists this ribosomal RNA (254 nucleotides) under uncultured bacterium. Its description in RNAcentral is "partial 16S ribosomal RNA". It matches the Rfam family "Bacterial small subunit ribosomal RNA", at positions 524 to 776 of the family's 1533-position model. The record is from RNAcentral.